This 1726-nucleotide long non-coding RNA is filed under the name Homo sapiens (human). RNAcentral describes it as "non-protein coding lnc-DLK1-35:62". The stretch from base 510 to 614 matches the Rfam family "Maternally expressed 3 conserved region 2". The record is from RNAcentral. Lineage: Eukaryota; Metazoa; Chordata; Mammalia; Primates; Hominidae.
AGAGAGGGAGCGCGCCUUGGCUCGCUGGCCUUGGCGGCGGCUCCUCAGGAGAGCUGGGGCGCCCACGAGAGGAUCCCUCACCCGGGUCUCUCCUCAGGGAUGACAUCAUCCGUCCACCUCCUUGUCUUCAAGGACCACCUCCUCUCCAUGCUGAGCUGCUGCCAAGGGGCCUGCUGCCCAUCUACACCUCACGAGGGCACUAGGAGCACGGUUUCCUGGAUCCCACCAACAUACAAAGCAGCCACUCACUGACCCCCAGGACCAGGAUGGCAAAGGAUGAAGAGGACCGGAACUGACCAGCCAGCUGUCCCUCUUACCUAAAGACUUAAACCAAUGCCCUAGUGAGGGGGCAUUGGGCAUUAAGCCCUGACCUUUGCUAUGCUCAUACUUUGACUCUAUGAGUACUUUCCUAUAAGUCUUUGCUUGUGUUCACCUGCUAGCAAACUGGAGUGUUUCCCUCCCCAAGGGGGUGUCAGUCUUUGUCGACUGACUCUGUCAUCACCCUUAUGAUGUCCUGAAUGGAAGGAUCCCUUUGGGAAAUUCUCAGGAGGGGGACCUGGGCCAAGGGCUUGGCCAGCAUCCUGCUGGCAACUCCAAGGCCCUGGGUGGGCUUCUGGAAUGAGCAUGCUACUGAAUCACCAAAGGCACGCCCGACCUCUCUGAAGAUCUUCCUAUCCUUUUCUGGGGGAAUGGGGUCGAUGAGAGCAACCUCCUAGGGUUGUUGUGAGAAUUAAAUGAGAUAAAAGAGGCCUCAGGCAGGAUCUGGCAUAGAGGAGGUGAUCAGCAAAUGUUUGUUGAAAAGGUUUGACAGGUCAGUCCCUUCCCACCCCUCUUGCUUGUCUUACUUGUCUUAUUUAUUCUCCAACAGCACUCCAGGCAGCCCUUGUCCACGGGCUCUCCUUGCAUCAGCCAAGCUUCUUGAAAGGCCUGUCUACACUUGCUGUCUUCCUUCCUCACCUCCAAUUUCCUCUUCAACCCACUGCUUCCUGACUCGCUCUACUCCGUGGAAGCACGCUCACAAAGGUUCCCAGUGCCCCCGACAAGCCCCUGCUGGUGUCUCCAUCUCCUGCCAAGCAUCCUCCAGUGCCUCCUCCUGUGGGCCUGGCCUCAGGGCUAUGGACAGACUCCUGUCCCAUCCCAGAGACCCCUCGUGAUCGUGCCCUGUAGUCACCCCACUCCACCGAAAAGUAAACUGCAGGCACGUGGGCCGUGGCCCGGCUGGGUCGGCUGAAGAACUGCGGAUGGAAGCUGCGGAAGAGGCCCUGAUGGGGCCCACCAUCCCGGACCCAAGUCUUCUUCCUGGCGGGCCUCUCGUCUCCUUCCUGGUUUGGGCGGAAGCCAUCACCUGGAUGCCUACGUGGGAAGGGACCUCGAAUGUGGGACCCCAGCCCCUCUCCAGCUCGAAAUCCCUCCACAGCCACGGGGACACCCUGCACCUAUUCCCACGGGACAGGCUGGACCCAGAGACUCUGGACCCGGGGCCUCCCCUUGAGUAGAGACCCGCCCUCUGACUGAUGGACGCCGCUGACCUGGGGUCAGACCCGUGGGCUGGACCCCUGCCCACCCCGCAGGAACCCUGAGGCCUAGGGGAGCUGUUGAGCCUUCAGUGUCUGCAUGUGGGAAGUGGGCUCCUUCACCUACCUCACAGGGCUGUUGUGAGGGGCGCUGUGAUGCGGUUCCAAAGCACAGGGCUUGGCGCACCCCACUGUGCUCUCAAUAAAUGUGU